RNAcentral lists this ribosomal RNA (253 nucleotides) under uncultured prokaryote. RNAcentral describes it as "partial 16S ribosomal RNA". It matches the Rfam family "Bacterial small subunit ribosomal RNA", at positions 525 to 777 of the family's 1533-position model. The record is from RNAcentral.
ACGUAGGGGGCAAGCGUUGUCCGGAAUCACUGGGCGUAAAGCGCGCGCAGGCGGUCUUUCACGUCCGGGGUGAAAGCCCAGAGCUCAACUCUGGGAUUGCCUUGGAUACGGGGAGACUUGAGGAUCGGAGAGGCAAGGGGAAUUCCACGUGUAGCGGUGAAAUGCGUAGAGAUGUGGAGGAACACCUGUGGCGAAGGCGCCUUGCUGGCCGAUUUCUGACGCUGAGGCGCGAAAGCGUGGGGAGCAAACAGGA